This is a small nuclear RNA of Capra hircus (goat), 100 nucleotides long. Lineage: Eukaryota; Metazoa; Chordata; Mammalia; Artiodactyla; Bovidae. The record is from Ensembl.
GUGCUCACUUUGGCAGCACAGAUACUAAAGUGGGGACAACACAGAGAAGAUUUGCAUGGUCUCUUUGUGAACGCAAAUUCACAAAGCGUUCCAUAUUUGG